ACCACUAAACUAUACCCGCUACA
RNAcentral lists this transfer RNA (23 nucleotides) under Lagochilus ilicifolius. RNAcentral's name for it is "partial tRNA-Gly". The record is from RNAcentral. Lineage: Eukaryota; Viridiplantae; Streptophyta; Magnoliopsida; Lamiales; Lamiaceae.